AUGGCAGCGGCGGCGAUGGCAGCGCACAGGGCCAGCUUCCCGCUGCGGCUGCAGCAGAUCCUGUCUGGCAGCCGCGNNNNNNNNNNNNNNNNNNNNNNNNNNNNNNNNNNNCCAGCAAAAGUUAAAGCAUUUAUUGAUCGUGUAAUCAAUAUUCCACUACAUGACAUUGCCAUACCACUAUCAGGCUUCCAUUGGGAGUUCAAUAAGGGAAAUUUUCACCAUUGGAAGCCUCUGUUUAUGCAUUUUGAUACGUAUUUCAAGACAUACAUCUCUUCUAGAAAGGAUCUUCUCUUGUCUGAUGAUAUGUCUGAGAGUGAACCGUUGACAAAAAAUACCAUCUUACAAAUUUUGAGAGUUGUGCAAAUUGUGUUGGAAAAUUGCCAGAACAAAACAACUUUUGCUGGCCUUGAGCAUUUUAAGAAUCUGUUGGCAUCAUCAGAUCCUGAGGUAGUUGUUGCGGCUUUGGAAACUCUUGCUUCAGUGGUGAAAAUAAAUCCUUCAAAACUACAUAUGAAUGGGAAACUGAUCAGCUGUGGAGCUAUAAAUAGCCAUCUUCUAUCAUUGGCCCAAGGAUGGGGUAGCAAGGAGGAAGGUCUCGGCUUGUAUUCCUGUGUUGUGGCAAAUGAGCGAAAUCAGCUGGAGGGUUUGUGCUUAUUCCCAGCAGACAUGGAGAACAAAUAUGAUGGCACACAGCAUCGUCUUGGGUCCACUCUUCAUUUUGAGUAUAAUUUGGCACCUGUCCAAGAUUCUGACCAAGCCAAUGACAAGUCAUCUAAUCUCUGCGUGAUACAUAUGCCAGACCUGCACCUUCGGAAGGAGGAUGACUUGAGCAUAUUGAAGCAAUGUAUCGACAAGUUUAAUGUGCCUCCAGAGCACCGGUUUGCCUUGUUUACAAGGAUAAGAUAUGCACAUGCUUUUAAUUCUCCGAGGACAUGCAGGCUAUAUAGCCGCAUAAGUCUCCUUUCUUUCAUUGUUCUCGUGCAAUCCAGUGAUGCCCAUGAUGAACUGACAUCGUUCUUCACAAAUGAGCCGGAGUACAUAAAUGAGUUAAUCCGGCUUGUUCGGUCAGAAGAUAUUGUUCCUGGGCCCAUUCGUGCAUUGGCUAUGCUUGCACUGGGAGCACAGUUAGCAGCAUAUGCAUCAUCUCAUGAGCGAGCUAGGAUACUGAGCGGUUCAAGUAUCAUCUCUGCUGGUGGAAACCGCAUGGUCUUGCUCAGUGUUUUGCAGAAAGCAAUAUCGUCCCUCAGUAGCCCUAAUGAUACUUCAUCUCCUUUAAUUGUUGAUGCCCUUCUACAGUUCUUUUUGCUUCAUGUGCUGUCAUCUUCGAGUUCUGGGACCACCGUUAGGGGUUCAGGGAUGGUUCCACCUCUCCUGCCUCUCCUGCAAGAUAAGGAUCCUUCCCACAUGCAUCUUGUCUGUUUGGCAGUAAAGACCCUUCAGAAGCUGAUGGAGUACAGCAGCCCUGCUGUUUCCCUGUUUAAAGAUUUGGGUGGUGUGGAACUUUUGUCUCAGAGGUUACAUGUGGAGGUGCAGCGUGUUAUUGGUGUUGCUGAAAUUACUUCAGUGCUUGCUAGUGAUACAUCGAAAUCAGAAGAUGACCAUCUGUACUCACAGAAGCGACUGAUUAAGGCUUUGCUCAAGGCAUUAGGUUCCGCUACAUAUUCUCCUGCGAAUCCUGCUCGCUCUCAAAGUUCCAAUGAUAACUCUUUGCCCAUGUCACUUUCCCUUAUAUUCCAGAAUGUUGGAAAGUUUGGUGGUGAUAUAUACUUCUCUUCAGUUACUGUUAUGAGUGAGAUAAUACAUAAGGAUCCUACAUGCUUUCCUGCUUUGAAGGAACUUGGUCUUCCUGAUGCUUUCCUGUCAUCAGUGACUGCUGGGGUGAUACCAUCUUGUAAAGCUCUUAUAUGUGUACCCAAUGGCCUGGGUGCAAUCUGCCUUAAUAACCAAGGACUUGAGUCUGUCAGGGAAACUUCAGUGCUGCGUUUUCUUGUAGAGACGUUCACUAGUAGGAAAUAUCUGAUACCAAUGAAUGAAGGUGUUGUUCUUUUAGCAAAUGCAGUGGAAGAGCUUCUUCGUCAUGUGCAGUCCCUUAGAAGUACUGGUGUUGACAUCAUCAUUGAAAUAAUCAACAAACUUUCUUGUCCUCGUGGUGAUAAAAUCACUGAAGCAGCCAGAGCUGAAGAAAAAACAGAUAUGGAAACAGAUGUUGAAGGGCGUGAUUUAGUAAGUGCCAUGGAUUCUGGCACAGAUGGAACUAAUGAUGAGCAGUUUUCUCAUUUGAGCAUUUUCCAUGUUAUGGUAUUGGUGCACAGGACAAUGGAGAAUUCAGAAACUUGCAGGCUGUUUGUAGAAAAGGGAGGUCUACAGACUCUGUUGACACUCCUGCUGCGACCUACCAUCACCCAAUCUUCUGGUGGGAUGCCUAUUGCUUUGCACAGCACUAUGGUAUUUAAGGGCUUUACUCAACAGCAUUCUACUCCACUUGCGCGUGCAUUCUGCUCCUCUUUAAAGGAGCACUUGAAGAAUGCCCUACAGGAACUUGAUACAGUUUUUAGGUCAUGUGAAGUGACUAAGCUGGAAAAAGGAGCCAUUCCAUCACUUUUUAUUGUUGAAUUUCUGCUCUUCCUAGCGGCAUCAAAAGACAACCGCUGGAUGAACGCUCUACUCUCAGAAUUUGGAGAUGUCAGCAGGGAUGUCCUGGAAGAUAUUGGAAGAGUUCACCGGGAAGUGCUUUGGCAAAUUUCACUUUUUGAUGAGAAGAAAAUAGAGCCUGAAGCUAGUUCUCCUUCAGCAAAUGAGGCCCAGCAAGUUGAUGCUGCUGUGGGCGACACUGAUGAUAACAGAUACACCUCCUUUAGGCAAUAUCUUGAUCCUCUUUUAAGGCGACGGGGCUCUGGGUGGAACAUUGAGUCUCAGGUGUCUGACCUUAUCAAUAUCUAUCGUGAUAUGGGCCGUGCAGCUACUGACUCUCACAGAGUUGGUGCUGAUAGAUACCCUAGUACAGGGUUGCCCUCAAGUUCCCAGGAUCAGCCAUCCAGUUCAUCUGAUGCAAAUGCGAAGUCAGAAGAGGACAAGAAAAGGUCUGAGCAUUCGUCCUGCUGUGACAUGAUGAGGUCACUUUCUUACCAUAUUAACCAUCUGUUUAUGGAGCUUGGGAAAGCAAUGCUGCUUACAUCUCGCCGUGAGAACAGUCCUAUAAAUCUAUCUCCAUCUGUUGUGUCUGUUGCUAGUAAUAUUGCUUCUAUCGUGUUGGAGCACCUCAAUUUUGAGGGGCAUACAAUCAGUCCAGAGAGGGAGAUAACUGUUGCUACAAAGUGCCGAUACCUUGGAAAGGUUGUUGAGUUUAUUGAUGGGAUAUUGUUGGACAGACCAGAAUCAUGUAAUCCAAUCAUGGUGAAUUCUUUUUAUUGCCGUGGUGUAAUUCAGGCUAUCUUAACCACAUUUGAAGCUACCAGCGAGUUGCUUUUCGCAAUGAACAGGCCACCCUCGUCACCUAUGGAGACUGAUAGUAAAACUGGGAAGGAAGAGAAGGAUACUGAUUGUUCAUGGAUUUAUGGCCCCCUUUCCAGCUAUGGUGCAGCUAUGGACCAUCUUGUAACAUCAUCAUUUAUUCUUUCUUCAUCGACAAGACAACUACUUGAGCAACCUAUUUUUAGUGGAACUGUCAGGUUUCCGCAAGAUGCAGAGAGAUUCAUGAAGUUGCUUCAAUCUAAAGUCUUGAAGACUGUUCUUCCCAUAUGGGCCCAUCCACAGUUUCCAGAAUGCAAUCUUGAGCUAAUCAGUUCAGUCACAUCGAUCAUGAGGCAUGUUUACUCUGGGGUAGAAGUAAAAAACAAUGUUAGCAACAUUGCUGCUCGUUUGGCUGGUCCACCCCCUGACGAGAAUGCAAUUUCCCUGAUUAUAGAGAUGGGCUUUUCUCGUGCCAGAGCUGAAGAAGCAUUAAGACAGGUUGGAACAAAUAGCGUUGAGAUUGCGACUGAUUGGUUGUUCUCACACCCGGAGGAACCACCAGAGGAUGAUGAACUUGCUCGAGCUCUUGCUAUGUCUCUAGGGAAUUCUGAUACACCUGUUCAAGAGGAAGAUGACAGAACUAAUGAUCUUGAGCUCGAGGAAGUAAAUGUUCAGCUCACUUCCAUGGAUGAAGUAUUAUCUUCAUGUCUUAGGCUGCUACAGGCAAAGGAAACAUUAGCUUUUCCUGUCCGGGAUAUGCUUGUGACUAUCAGCUCACAGAAUGACGGCCAAAACCGUGUGAAGGUGCUUACAUAUUUGAUUGAUCAUCUGAAGCAAUGUCUUGUGGCAUCUGAUCCUUUAAAGAACACUGCACUAUCUGCUUUUUUCCAUGUUCUUGCUUUGAUUCUCCAUGGAGAUACCGCUGCUCGUGAAGUUGCCUCAAAGGCUGGUCUUGUCAAGGUUGUUUUGAAUCUGCUGUGCAGCUGGGAGUUGGAGCCAAGGGAAGGUCAAACAACCAAGGUUCCCAAUUGGGUUACUUCCUGUUUCCUUUCUGUUGAUAGAAUGCUCCAGUUGGAACCCAAGUUGCCAGAUGUUACUGAGCUUGAUGUUCUCAAAAAGGAUAAUUCACCUACACAAACAUCUGUUGUGAUUGAUGACAGCAAGAAGAAGGAUUCAGAAUCUUCCUCAAGUGUAGGGUUAUUGGACUUGGAGGACCAGGAGCAACUUUUGAGGAUAUGCUGUAAAUGCAUUCAGAAGCAGUUGCCUUCCGGUACAAUGCAUGCUAUUCUUCAGUUGUGUGCUACACUGACGAAAGUCCAUGUGGCUGCUAUCAGUUUUCUUGAGUCUGGUGGCCUACAUGCGUUGCUAAGUUUGCCGACAAGUAGCUUGUUUUCUGGAUUCAACAGUGUGGUUUCUACAAUUAUCCGUCAUAUUUUGGAGGAUCCCCAUACUCUUCAGCAAGCUAUGGAAUUAGAGAUACGCCAUAGUCUUGUCACGGCUGCUAAUCGGCAUGCAAAUCCUAGGGUUACACCACGUAAUUUUGUUCAGAAUUUGGCGUUUGUUGUAUACAGGGACCCAGUGAUAUUUAUGAAAGCUGCCCAAGCUGUGUGCCAGAUUGAGAUGGUUGGAGAUAGACCGUAUGUUGUUCUAUUGAAGGACCGUGAGAAGGAAAAGAGCAAGGAAAAAGAGAAGGAUAAGCUGGUUGAUAAGGAUAAAUCAUCAGGUGUUGCCACAAAGAUAACAUCAGGGGACAUGGUUAUGGCAUCUCCUGUAAGUGCCAAAGGGAAACAAUCUGAUUUGAGUGCAAGGAAUAUGAAAUCUCAUCGCAAGCCACCACAAACCUUUGUCACUGUUAUUGAGCAUCUAUUAGAUCUAGUAAUGUCCUUUGUCCCACCACAAAGAGCUGAGGACCAAUCUGAUGGUUCGUCAUCCAUGGACAUGGAUAUUGACUCUAGUUCAGCAAAAGGUAAAGGGAAGGCCGUUGCUGUCACACAUGAAGAGUCCAAGCAAGCAAUCCAAGAUGCUACUGCAUGUCUGGCUAAAAACGCAUUUGUCCUAAAGCUGCUCACAGAUGUACUAUUAACUUAUGCUUCUUCCGUUCAAGUUGUUCUUCGCCAUGAUGCUGAGUUGAGCAGCACGCGAGGUCCUACUCGGACCAGUGGUGGAAUAUUUAAUCAUAUAUUGCAGCAUUUGCUUCCACAUGCUACAAAACAAAAGAAAGAAAGAAAGCCUGAUGGUGAUUGGAGGUACAAAUUGGCUACAAGGGGUAAUCAGUUUUUAGUGGCUUCAUCUAUUCGUUCUUCAGAAGGACGAAAAAGGAUCUGUUCUGAAAUCUGCAGUAUAUUUGUUGAGUUCACAGACAAUACUGGUUGCAAACCUCCAAUGUUGAGGAUGGAUGCUUAUGUUGAUUUGCUCAAUGAUAUUCUGUCAGCUCGCUCACCAACGGGCUCGUCACUUUCAGCAGAAUCUGUAGUUACAUUUGUUGAGGUUGGCCUUGUCCAGUGUUUAACGAAAACCCUUCAGGUUCUUGAUUUGGAUCAUCCUGAUUCAGCAAAGAUUGUAACUGGUAUUGUCAAGGCUCUUGAAGUGGUUACUAAGGAACACGUUCAUUUAGCUGAUUUUAAUGCUAAAGGGGAGAACUCAUCAAAGACUGUUUUGGAGCAGAACAAUGUAGAUUCAUCAUCAAAUAGGUUCCAGGUUCUUGACACAACUUCUCAACCAACUGCAAUGGUAACUGAUCACAGGGAAACUUUCAAUGCUGUUCAUGCUUCAAGAAGUUCAGAUUCAGUGGCAGAUGAGAUGGAUCAUGACCGUGAUAUAGAUGGAGGUUUUGCCCGUGAUGGUGAAGAUGAUUUUAUGCAUGAGAUUGCUGAAGACAGAACAGGAAAUGAGUCCACAAUGGAUAUUCGGUUUGAUAUCCCACGUAAUAGAGAGGAUGAUAUGGCUGAAGAUGAAGAUGACAGUGAUGAAGAUAUGUCAGGAGAUGAUGGUGAGGAGGUUGAUGAAGAUGAUGAUGAUGAGGAAAAUAACAACCUGGAGGAAGACGAUGCCCAUCAGAGAUCUCAUGCUGACACGGAUCAGGAUGACCGUGAGAUUGAUGAAGAAGAAUUUGAUGAAGAUCUUCUAGAAGAAGAAGAUGAUGAUGAUGAGGACGAGGAGGGAGUAAUCCUUCGCCUAGAGGAGGGGAUCAAUGGAAUUAAUGUGUUUGACCAUAUUGAGGUUUUUGGGGGGAGCAACAAUGUUUCUGGGGAUACACUGCGUGUAAUGCCAUUGGACAUUUUUGGCACAAGACGGCAAGGCCGUAGUACAUCUAUAUACAAUCUUCUUGGGAGAGCAAGUGACCAAGGUGUACUUGACCACCCACUCUUGGAGGAACCUUCGAUGUUACUUCCACAACAGAGGCAACCAGAAAAUUUAGUUGAGAUGGCUUUCUCUGAUCGGAAUCAUGAAAAUAGUUCUUCCCGUUUGGACGCUAUAUUCAGAAGCUUGCGAAGUGGACGGAAUGGACACCGAUUUAAUAUGUGGCUGGAUGAUGGCCCCCAACGCAAUGGAUCUGCUGCCCCUACAGUACCUGAAGGCAUUGAAGAACUUCUGCUCUCUCAGUUGAGAAGGCCUAUGGCUGAACAUCCUGAUGAGCAGAGCACACCUGCUGUUGAUGCUCAAGUAAACGAUCCUCCCAGUAAUUUUCAUGGGCCAGAAACUGAUGCAAGGGAAGGGUCAGCAGAACAAAAUGAAAAUAAUGAAAACGUUGAUAUUCCUGCAGUAAGGUCUGAGGUGGAUGGCUCUGCAAGUGCUGGUCCUGCACCUCCUCACAGUGAUGAACUUCAAAGAGAUGCAUCCAAUGCAAGUGAGCAUGUCGCAGAUAUGCAAUAUGAACGUAGUGACACGGCUGUCCGUGAUGUGGAAGCAGUAAGCCAAGCAAGCAGUGGUAGUGGUGCUACUCUAGGGGAAAGCCUCAGAAGUUUAGAUGUUGAAAUUGGAAGUGUUGAAGGACAUGAUGAUGGUGACCGGCAUGGGGCUUCAGACAGGACACCUCUGGGUGAUGUACAGGCAGCUACUCGAUCGCGGAGGCCUUCUGGAAAUGCAGUACCAGUCAGCAGCAGGGACAUAUCAUUGGAGAGUGUUAGGGAGAUCCCCCCAAACACAGUCCAGGAAUCUGAUCAGAAUGCCAGUGAGGGGGAUCAGGAGCCUAACAGGGCUACUGGGACUGACUCAAUAGAUCCUACAUUUUUGGAGGCUCUUCCAGAGGAUUUGCGGGCUGAAGUUCUUUCUUCACGACAAAAUCAAGUGACUCAGACUUCCAGUGAGCAGCCUCAGCACGAUGCGGACAUUGAUCCUGAAUUCCUUGCUGCACUGCCACCUGAUAUACGUGAAGAGGUUCUAGCUCAACAACGUGCCCAACGGUUGCAACAACAGUCUCAAGAGCUUGAAGGACAACCAGUUGAAAUGGAUGCUGUAUCAAUUAUUGCAACCUUCCCUUCGGAAAUACGGGAGGAGGUGCUUUUGACGUCUCCCGAUACUCUACUUGCUACAUUGACACCUGCACUAGUUGCUGAAGCCAACAUGUUGCGUGAGAGAUUUGCUCAUCGAUAUCACAGCGGUUCACUAUUUGGCAUGAACUCCAGGAACAGGAGGGGAGAGUCCUCUCGUCGUGGUGAUAUCAUUGGUUCAGGCCUUGAUAGAAAUACUGGUGAUUCGUCCCGUCAAACGGCCAGCAAGUUAAUUGAAACUGUAGGGACUCCUCUUGUUGACAAGGAUGCUCUCAAUGCUCUUAUACGAUUACUUCGAGUUGUCCAGCCUAUAUACAAGGGCCAGCUGCAGAGGCUUCUCUUGAACCUUUGUGCUCACCGGGAAAGCAGAAAGUCGCUGGUUCAAAUUCUGUUGGACAUGCUUAUGCUUGAUCUGCAGGGCUCUUCUAAGAAAUCAAUUGAUGCAACAGAGCCGUCAUUUAGGCUAUAUGGGUGCCAUGCAAAUAUCACAUAUUCACGCCCUCAAUCCUCAGAUGGUGUGCCACCACUGGUUUCCCGCCGUGUGCUGGAAACUCUGACAUACCUGGCAAGAAAUCAUCCAAAUGUGGCUAAGCUCUUACUCUUUCUUCAGUUCCCCUGCCCGCCCACCUGCCAUACUGAAACACUUGACCAGAGGCGUGGAAAGGCUGUCCUUGUGGAAGACGGGGAACAACAGAGUGCUUUUGCACUCGUUCUACUUUUGACUCUAUUAAAUCAGCCUCUUUAUAUGAGAAGUGUAGCUCAUCUUGAACAGUUACUCAAUCUUCUGGAAGUUGUCAUGCUUAAUGCCGAGAAUGAAGUAAAUCAAGCUAAGUUGGAAAGUUCAGCUGAGAGACCGUCUGGACCUGAGAAUGCAACACAAGAUGCCCUAGAGGAUGCCAGUGUUGCUGGAUCAUCUGGAGUGAAGCCCAAUGCCGAUGAUAGUGGUAAAUCAUCCGCAGAUAAUAUAAGUGACCUGCAAGCUGUUUUGCAUAGCCUUCCGCAAGCCGAGCUUCGGUUGCUAUGUUCAUUGCUUGCGCAUGAUGGGUUAUCAGACAAUGCAUAUCUCCUUGUAGCAGAAGUUCUGAAAAAGAUUGUAGCUUUGGCUCCUUUCAUCUGUUGCCAUUUCAUAAAUGAGCUUUCACGUUCGAUGCAAAAUUUGACUGUUUGUGCCAUGAACGAGCUUCACUUGUAUGAAGAUUCUGAAAAGGCAAUUCUGAGCACAUCAUCAGCCAACGGCAUGGCAGUUCUAAGAGUUGUGCAGGCCUUGAGUUCUCUUGUCACAUCUCUGCAAGAGAGAAAAGAUCCAGAGCUUCUUGCAGAGAAGGACCAUUCAGAUGCGCUGUCCCAGAUUUCUGAUAUUAACACAGCAUUGGAUGCGUUGUGGUUGGAGCUAAGCAACUGCAUAAGCAAAAUAGAGAGCUCUUCAGAAUAUACAUCAAAUUUGAGUCCAACUUCUGCAAAUGCAACUAGAGUAUCAACUGGUGUAGCACCUCCCUUGCCAGCUGGAACCCAGAAUAUAUUACCGUACAUAGAAUCCUUUUUUGUGACAUGCGAGAAGUUACGUCCAGGACAACCUGAUGCUGUUCAAGAGCCUUCAACAUCUGAUAUGGAGGAUGCUUCAACAUCUAGUAGUGGGCAAAAAUCAUCUGCAAGCCAUACCAGUCUUGAUGAGAAGCACACUGCUUUUGUUAAAUUCUCGGAGAAACACAGAAGAUUGUUAAAUGCUUUUAUCCGACAAAACUCUGGGUUGCUAGAAAAAUCAUUCUCUCUGAUGUUGAAGGUCCCCCGCUUGAUUGAUUUUGACAACAAACGUGCAUAUUUCCGGUCUAAAAUUAAGCAUCAGCAUGACCAUCAUCACAGUCCUGUUAGAAUUUCUGUCCGACGGGCGUACAUUUUGGAAGACUCCUAUAAUCAGCUUAGGAUGCGCUCACCCCAGGACUUGAAGGGUAGACUCACUGUUCAUUUCCAAGGAGAAGAAGGCAUUGAUGCCGGUGGACUCACAAGAGAGUGGUAUCAGUUACUAUCACGAGUGAUUUUUGACAAGGGAGCCCUUCUAUUCACGACUGUUGGAAAUGACUUGACAUUUCAACCAAACCCUAACUCUGUGUAUCAGACUGAACACCUCUCAUAUUUCAAAUUUGUUGGACGAGUGGUUGGAAAAGCGCUCUUUGAUGCCCAACUUUUGGAUGCCCAUUUCACUAGAUCUUUCUACAAGCACAUACUUGGUGCCAAGGUUACUUACCAUGAUAUUGAAGCCAUUGAUCCUGCUUACUACAGAAACCUUAAGUGGAUGCUUGAGAACGACAUAAGUGAUGUCCUGGACCUCACAUUUAGCAUGGAUNNNNNNNNNNNNNNNNNNNNNNNNNNNNNNNNNNNNNNNGUAACUGAUUGUGAGUUGAUUCCUGGAGGGCGUAACAUUAGGGUCACUGAGGAGAACAAGCAUGAAUAUGUGGAUAGGGUAGCAGAGCAUCGUUUAACCACUGCAAUUAGGCCUCAGAUUAAUGCUUUCAUGGAAGGAUUUAAUGAACUCAUUCCUCGCGAGCUAAUAUCCAUUUUUAACGACAAAGAGUUUGAACUGCUAAUCAGUGGACUCCCUGAUAUUGACUUGGACGACCUAAAGGCAAAUACCGAGUAUUCUGGCUACAGCAUAGCUUCUCCAGUUAUUCAAUGGUUCUGGGAAAUUGUACAAGGUUUCAGCAAGGAGGACAAAGCUCGAUUUCUCCAGUUCGUUACUGGCACUUCAAAGGUACCUUUGGAGGGUUUCAGUGCGCUCCAAGGAAUAUCUGGGCCACAAAGGUUCCAGAUACACAAGGCAUACGGCAGCACCAACCAUCUGCCCUCAGCUCAUACUUGCUUUAACCAACUGGACUUGCCUGAAUACACAUCCAAAGACCAGCUGCAGGAGAGGUUGCUAUUGGCUAUUCAUGAGGCAAAUGAAGGGUUUGGAUUUGGUUAA
RNAcentral lists this ribosomal RNA (10896 nucleotides) under Triticum aestivum (bread wheat). RNAcentral's name for it is "partial small subunit ribosomal RNA". Lineage: Eukaryota; Viridiplantae; Streptophyta; Magnoliopsida; Poales; Poaceae. The record is from RNAcentral.